CCCUUAGAUGCUCUGGGCCGCACGCGCGCUACACUGGUCGAUGCAACGAGUUUCUUUCCUUGGCCGACAGGUCUGGGCAAUCUUUGAACAUCGAUCGUGAUCGGGAUAGAUUCUUGUAAUUUUUGAUCUUAAACGAGGAAUUCCUAGUAAACGCAAGUCAUCAGCUUGCAUUGAUUACGUCCCUGCCCUUUGUACACACCGCCCGUCGCACCUACCGAUUGAAUGGUCCGGUGAAAUCUCCGGACUGGCGUGAGUCGGAGCAAUCUGACAAACGCCGGAAAGUUGAUUAAACCUUACCAUUUAGAGGAAGGUGAAGUCGUAACA
RNAcentral lists this ribosomal RNA (324 nucleotides) under uncultured eukaryote. RNAcentral describes it as "partial 18S ribosomal RNA". It matches the Rfam family "Eukaryotic small subunit ribosomal RNA", at positions 1470 to 1796 of the family's 1831-position model. The record is from RNAcentral.